GAUGAACGCUGGCGGCGUGCCUAAUACAUGCAAGUCGAGCGAACAGACGAGGAUCUUGCUCCUCUCACGUUAGCGGCGCACGGGUGAGUCACACGUGGAUACCCUACCUAUCAGACUGGUAUAAUCUCGGGAAACCGGAGCUAAUACCGGAUAAUAUAUUGAACCGUGUGGUGCAAUAGUGAAAGUCGGUUUUUGUGUCACGUAUAGAUGGUUCCGCGCCGCAUUAGCUGGUUGGGAGGUUAACGGGUUAGCAAGGCGACUAUGCGUGGCCGACGUGAGGGGGGGGUCGGCCACACGGGAACGGGGCCACGCUCCAGGGUCCUACGGGAGGCAGCAGUAGGGAACCUGCCGCAAUGGGCGAGAGCCUGACGGAGCAACGCCGCGUGAGUGGUGAAGGUCUUCGGAUCGUAAAACUGUGUUAUUAGGGAAGAACAAAUGUGUAAGUAACUAUGCACGGCUUGACGGUACCUGAUCAGAAAGCCACGGCUAACUACGUG
Molecule: ribosomal RNA, 497 nt
Filed under: uncultured bacterium
Lineage: Bacteria
Description: partial 16S ribosomal RNA
Rfam family: Bacterial small subunit ribosomal RNA
Source: RNAcentral